Molecule: ribosomal RNA, 676 nt
Filed under: uncultured bacterium
Lineage: Bacteria
Description: bacterial SSU rRNA
Rfam family: Bacterial small subunit ribosomal RNA
Source: RNAcentral
ACUCUUGGACAGCCUUCUGAAAGGAAGAUUAAUACAAGAUGGCAUCAUGAGUCCGCAUGUUCACAUGAUUAAAGGUAUUCCGGUAGACGAUGGGGAUGCGUUCCAUUAGAUAGUAGGCGGGGUAACGGCCCACCUAGUCUUCGAUGGAUAGGGGUUCUGAGAGGAAGGUCCCCCACAUUGGAACUGAGACACGGUCCAAACUCCUACGGGAGGCAGCAGUGAGGAAUAUUGGUCAAUGGGCGAGAGCCUGAACCAGCCAAGUAGCGUGAAGGAUGACUGCCCUAUGGGUUGUAAACUUCUUUUAUAAAGGAAUAAAGUCGGGUAUGGAUACCCGUUUGCAUGUACUUUAUGAAUAAGGAUCGGCUAACUCCGUGCCAGCAGCCGCGGUAAUACGGAGGAUCCGAGCGUUAUCCGGAUUUAUUGGGUUUAAAGGGAGCGUAGAUGGAUGUUUAAGUCAGUUGUGAAAGUUUGCGGCUCAACCGUAAAAUUGCAGUUGAUACUGGAUAUCUUGAGUGCAGUUGAGGCAGGCGGAAUUCGUGGUGUAGCGGUGAAAUGCUUAGAUAUCACGAAGAACUCCGAUUGCGAAGGCAGCCUGCUAAGCUGCAACUGACAUUGAGGCUCGAAAGUGUGGGUAUCAAACAGGAUUAGAUACCCUGGUAGUCCACACGGCAAACGA